This 325-nucleotide ribosomal RNA is filed under the name uncultured eukaryote. Its description in RNAcentral is "partial 18S ribosomal RNA". It matches the Rfam family "Eukaryotic small subunit ribosomal RNA", at positions 1470 to 1796 of the family's 1831-position model. The record is from RNAcentral.
CCCUUAGAUGUUCUGGGCUGCACGCGCGCUACACUGAUGCGCUCAACGAGUUUAUGACCUUGCCCGGAAGGGUUGGGUAAUCUUCUUAAAACGCAUCGUGAUGGGGAUAGAUUAUUGCAAUUAUUAAUCUUCAACGAGGAAUUCCUAGUAAGCGCGAGUCAUCAGCUCGUGCUGAUUACGUCCCUGCCCUUUGUACACACCGCCCGUCGCUCCUACCGAUUGAGGGAUCCGGUGAAUAAUUCGGACUGCAGCAGUGUUCGGUCACGAACGUUGCAGCGGAAAGUUUAGUGAACCUUAUCACUUAGAGGAAGGAGAAGUCGUAACA